Molecule: ribosomal RNA, 443 nt
Filed under: uncultured bacterium
Lineage: Bacteria
Description: partial 16S ribosomal RNA
Rfam family: Bacterial small subunit ribosomal RNA
Source: RNAcentral
GCUACGGGAGGCUGCAGUGGGGAAUAUUGGGCAAUGGAGGCAACUCUGACCCAGCAAUGCCGCGUGAGUGAUGAAGGUAAUUUUAUUGUAAAGCUCUUUUUUUUGGAACGAAUAAAUGACGGUACCAAAGGAAUAAGCUCUGGCUAACUACGUGCCAGCAGCCGCGGUAAUACGUAGGGGGGAGGCGUUGUUCGGAAUGACUGGGCGUAAAGGGUGUGUAGGGGGUUUGCUAAGUUAGAUGUGUAAUACCCAGGGCUUAACGCGGGGGUUGCAUCUAAAACUGUGAGACUUGAGUACUGGAGAGGAUAGUGGAAUUCGUGGUGUAGCGGUGGAAUGCGUAGAUAUUAGGAGGAACAUCAGUGGCGAAGGCGACUAUCUGGACAGCAACUGACACUGAGGCACGAAAGCGUGGGGAGCGAACAGGAUUAGAUACCCGUGUAGUC